AUUGAACGCUGGCGGCAGGCCUAACACAUGCAAGUCGAGCGUGAAAGUCCUUCGGGAUGAGUAAAGCGGCGGACGGGUGAGUAACGCGUAGGAAUCUACCUAAUAGUGGGGGAUAACGUUUCGAAAGGAACGCUAAUACCGCAUACGUUCUGAGGAAGAAAGCAGGGGAUCGCAAGACCUUGCGCUAUUAGAUGAGCCUGCGUCCGAUUAGCUAGUUGGUGGGGUAAAGGCCUACCAAGGCGACGAUCGGUAACUGGUCUGAGAGGAUGAUCAGUCACACUGGAACUGAGACACGGUCCAGACUCCUACGGGAGGCAGCAGUGGGGAAUAGUUGGACAAUGGGCGGAAAGCCUGAUCCAGCAAUGCCGCGUGCAGGAAGAAGGCC
Molecule: ribosomal RNA, 385 nt
Filed under: uncultured bacterium
Lineage: Bacteria
Description: bacterial SSU rRNA
Rfam family: Bacterial small subunit ribosomal RNA
Source: RNAcentral